Molecule: long non-coding RNA, 4766 nt
Filed under: Sus scrofa (pig)
Lineage: Eukaryota; Metazoa; Chordata; Mammalia; Artiodactyla; Suidae
Description: lncRNA (ENSSSCG00015043069.1)
Source: RNAcentral
CACAUUUCUAAAAAUAUUUUAAUGAAAAAGUUAUCUUUCUGUAAACAUUUCAUUAUACUACAAAUGAAACAUUUGAAUCCAUUACAGACCACCUCUUAAGUCUUAAAAAAUCAGAGUAAAACAUUGAAAUUUAAAAGUAAUCUUGUUCAUAUAUCCUUAUUACCCCUGCACAUUAGCAUGCUCACUACUUUGUGAUAUUACUGGAAUUCCAAGACACCAGCAUUAGAUAUUUCAAAUUGUGACUUAGUAUUAGAACUCUCAAAACCAAGUGUAUUUCAACUGUUCCUUAACAAAUUGUCUUUGAUACCAAUUUUUUUUAAAGUAAUGAAAUGUAAAUUGAGUUUGUCCCUUUUUUUUCUAAAGAAAUGUGUGGGAAGCUGUAACCUAAGAGUUGCUUUGACAAAAUCAGUUAGGGUUUGCCUUCAUCAUCUCCCCUUGUAUAAAAUAUCCUUUUGUUUACUGGUGCUGACUUAGGAGCAUCCUAUUUUUCAGAAAUAACAGUGGAACUACAUUUAAAUAAAAUCAAAAAAGUGAAAUAAUCAUAAAGAAAUGAGUUGGACUGGAACAGAAAAAUACUUUUAAAAAACUUUUUCUGUCUUAGGAAAUUUGCUUUACCAAACACCAUGUUGUAAAUAAUUUGUCAUUACAAGGCUGUUUAUUACCUUAUUGAACACUUCAUUUUCUGGUGAUGUGUAGAAAUUCAGUUCUAAUUUAGGUAUAGAGAGAGACUCAACCAAUCAUUUUCUGAAAAUAAAACCUGUGUCAAAGAAUUCCAGUUUAUGUAAGAUCUUGACUGAUUUAUAAUUUAAAAACUAGUUUUAUUUUAACCCUCUGCCCCACCAAUGUUACUUUUUUCAAGUGAUUUAAUAUCUAAUCUCAAAUUUUAACAAGCCCUUCUGAGGCAGCACUAAUAGCCCAUAUGAACAAUCAGCAUCUGAUAUGAAUAAUAAUUGAGUAACAUUUUAACUACUCUUUGGAAAAGCUUGUCUUUUAGAAAGGAGCUUUAGUGUAAGUAGGCUCCCACUGCUUCUGGGUAACAGGUUAAACACAAAAAAAACUAAAAAAAAAGAACCAAAAAUUUUAUUCUAUUAAUCCAAAUAAUUCCCUAUAGUCAUAUGCAAGAGAACGUAUUUAUGUAUGAGGCCACCUGAAUACCUGUAUGAUCUGACAAUUGUGAAAGUUCAUUCUUUUUCCCUAGGAAGAGGACUGGAAGCUUAAUGCUUGCUACAAGUCAUGCUUAUUACAAAAACCCUUCAAAAAAAAAAAAAAAUCUGGUCACUCUUUCUCUUGACUUCACCCUAGAGACACCAACAAUGAAUUAUCUCUGACUCUAGAUGAAUGCUCAUGUACCUAAUAGUUUGAAAAUAUGUAAUAUAAAUUUAUAGGGAAACAAAUGGUGUCAUCAGGCUUUACUGUGAGCUACAAACCUUACCCAGCCAGAAACCUUCGUAUUUAAGAUGAUGGUAGGAAAGACAUUCCUCAUUUAGGCAAGUAGGGUUCUCAUUCAACCUGCAAAUCAAAAAGAUUACUCUUACCUUGCUUUACAAAAAAUUACUCUUUAAUUAGUGAAAAAAUUCAAAUUCAAGCCUUACCUAAUGCUUAUUGCCCUUCCUCGCAGGCCUAAAUGCUAGACCUAGAGACUGUGGCCAACUAUCUCUCAUUGAUGUUCCAAAAGGCGAAGAGCUCCUUCCUGCUAGACUUUCUUCGAUAUUUCAGUUGUAAUAAGCAGAUUUAAUGAGCUUUUGGAAAGUUUCUCACUAGAGCCAUAGAAUCAUAUGCCUUCACUUCUCUGUAGGUGAAGCUCUUGUUGCUGUCUCCUCAUUGCAAACUCAAAAGGCUGCUGAAGUCCUAUCUUAGUGAGUCUCCUUUGAUCCACUCUGUGCUUAAAGAGCACAUCUUAGGUCCUUUAAAGCUGAUUAAAUUGCUCUCCUCAUGUCUUAACUUUUCCAGACUGUUCACAAGAACUCAGCUAAUACAGCUUAUAAACAGGUCACAUACACAAGAUUUCACCAGCUUAUAUGUUGUGGACAUCAAUUUAACGGACAAUAUUUUAACUAUUAAACCAGUUCCAAAACACAGAAAGUUUGUUAACAGCACAAUAACCUCAUAUGACAUUAAAGUAUACUGUCAAGGUUAUGUCAAACAAUUUCACAAAGAAAGAGGAAAUGUGAAUUUUCCCCAUUCCUUCAAACUUUAUUACAUGAAUAAAAUAACAUGAGACAGUUUAGCUUAAUUUUAAUGUUUCCCAAGCAUUACUUUGACCAUGUACCCAGGUUUAAGUUAUGAACAUUGACAGUGUCCAUUUAUAUAACCACACUUGAAGUUGUUAACGACUUAACCAUUUUCUAAUAAUUAGCCUAUUUUCUACAUGGCUUAUUCACACAUGUCCAUUAACAAAUGGAAUGUUGUCUGUUAUGUUUAUUGGUUGGUGAGUGUUUUCUGGAAAACUGCAAAAUCUGUGAAGACCAAUUUUUCAUGCUGGCAUUGCAUGCAUCCAAAUAUCAAUGUACAGAGGCACAGAAUUAGAGCAACAAGAGAGCAUAUUCAGACACUGGGCAAGCCCCAUCCCAACUUUUUUGCUUGUUUUGCUCAGUAUUUCUUAAAACAAAAAUAAUAAUCUCAAAUUCAAUGUUCAACUGCCAAAGAACUAAUUACAACAGAGCACAGGGCACAUACUUAGGGCUCAAAUGAGAUUGUAAGCACUAGCUGGUGCAAAACAGUAGGUUUUUAUAUACAUGACCUUGUUAUCUAAAACUCUUCUCAACCAGGGUCUUCCAAAUAAAUUGUUAACUCAUACCAACAUGAUUUAGGUUCAAGCAUACACAUGGAAUAUCAAUGUGUUCUUUGGGAUUUUAAGUGACUACAACUCUGCCUAUCCAAAUUUGAAUUCAGGUCUUUGGGAAGUGAAAAGCUUAUUUGUAUUAAAUAACCAUGCUAUACUUCUAAUGCAGUUAUUUGUGAUGAUUAUAUCUAGACUAUCCUUGGUUUCAUCCAGUAAAAUGAAAGGAAAGCAUCCAGGGAAGCAUGUCAGCCAGCUAAGAGUUCAACAAUGCAUGAUUUUUAUUUUCUUGCUCUGAGAGCUUAUACCAAUAUAUAUAUCUAUCUCCAAGGAAAAUAACUGAAGAUAUACAGGCCUCUUGUGCUUUAAAAAGGAGGGAAGAAAGUAGCCACGAAUUUGUUCAAUAUAGCAGGCUUAGUGGUCCUGUAUUCAAAGAUUUUUAAAAUGUUUUAUAAGGUAGGAGGAAAGGGAAAAUAUUCACUACCUCUUUCCCAAAUUUAAACAGAGGGCAGCAGACAUCCUUUACACCCAAAUAAUACUAUGGCAGCAGUUCUUAGGUGAAGAAGGUGAAUGCAGAAUGGAGAUGUUCUAAACACAGCUAGGACUCUCAGCAAAGCUAAUGCACUAAAAUCAUAUGAUUCCAUUUUGAAAGAAAAUGCACAAAAACCAAAUAGGAAUUUUGAGAUUUUUCAUCUGAAGGAAAAUCUUACUGCUAUGAAAUUCACAAACAUGCUAAUUUAAAUACCCAAUUCUAUUGUCUAAAACACACACUGCAAACAUACAAAUAUAUCUUCUCUUCACAUGUCAGAGCCCACCUCAUUUCAUGGUUUGGAAAUGGGGAGAACAGAUCCCCUUAAACUGAAAGUCAGCAGGUGUUUCUUUACAGUUAACUUUACCAAAAUUAAUACAAAAUUGUUAACAAUGAUCUUCUUUCUUGUUAACUCACAAGGAAACACCUUCAUAACUGCAUUUUCUUUAGAGUUUCUGUACUAAAAUAUGGAAAAACUGAAUAACAAAUAUUGAAAAGUUAAAAAUUUCCCAAUUUUUUUUCUGGUAUCACUACCACAAUUUACAGGGCAAUAUUUCUGAUGUAAUGAAAAGAAAAAGAAAAAGAAAAAGCUGCAACAUGUAAAAGACCUCAGGAAUGUACAUGUAUUUCAAGAACUGCACUUUUUGCAAACUAUGGCUAUGACAUCCUGAAAAAGAAGGAUUUCCUAUUUAAGCUGCAGUAACUUUUCUGUCUAUAGAUCAUUGUUCCUUCUGUGGCAGAUACUUACAGUGCCUCUAAUGCAUUUGGGAUGGAUGUCUCAAAGUAACUCACAGAUUUUCUGACAACUCCUCACUCUCUCUCCUGCUAAGAACCAUAGCCCUUUUAUGCUGUUUUUAAAAACCUCUUCUACCAUAUCCACCACUUCCACUACCACAUCCAUAACUACCACCAUAGGGACUUCCUGAGCUUCUUCCACCAAAACUGCUCCCCCUUUCACGGGUCCAUAAUCUGAUUGUUGUUCUGCAAUAUAAUUUUGAAAAUCAUUAUAGUUACCACCACCACCACGGCUGCCGCCUCCAAAAUUUCCUCCUUCUCUGUAACCAUCAUAUCCUCCACCACCGCCACAUCCACCACCUUGGGUUCCAUAUCUUGGUCCACCACCACCAUAGCCUCCUCUACUAUUCUAACCAGGAACACCACUAGAGUUUCCACCAUCAUCUCCAAAUCCAGUAUACUAACAUCACCUCCUCCAUAACUACCCCUGCAGCCACCACUUCCACCACCAUAAAUUCCUCUUCCACCAAAAUUUCCACCAUGGCCAAAGUGCCUCCACCACUUCUGCAGUUUCCUCCACAACCCAUAAAGUUGCCAGAUACACCCCCAAGACCUCUCUGUGGUCCCAUCAGAUGGCAUUUCUUGUUUAAAAAGAGCCUAUUUCACUUCACGAUCACACCCAUUUAUAGUGUGGUAUUUUAAACAACAAUUUUAUCAACUGUA